UCUGGACUGCCAGCUGAAGGCCAGUCAGGAAACCAGAGCACAUCAACAUUAGAUGCUCAGAUUUUGACAGAUGAAUCUAGGCUAGGAGAGAGGUAUUCAGCUGGCCUAUGUAAAAUGUGUCUAGUUUAGAGUGAGCUCAGUAACUCUCUAAACCCAUUAACUGAGUGACAAGAUUGCAACAGGAUCUUGUGUGACUAACUCACAUGUAUGUAUCUACAUUUUGGCACUGGAACACAAUCUACUCCUUUCAAAUGGCUGCGUUCAGUCACCUAAACAGAUUGUUCCAUCUGAGGUGCACUAGGAUAUUCAAGAUACUACACAGGGCUGCCUGGAGACCUAUAGGACAUCUGACAUGACAUCUUUUUCACAUGCAGCUGGAGGCAUCUGCUGCUGAACGCCAUCAUCAGAAGUGUCAGACCAGAAGAUGCAGGAUGAUGUUUCUAUAUUCCACUAGGAUUCUAUAAUACUGAACUGCUGAUGUUACUCCCA
This is a long non-coding RNA of Rhea pennata, 489 nucleotides long. RefSeq lists it as uncharacterized. The transcript is spliced from 3 exons. Lineage: Eukaryota; Metazoa; Chordata; Aves; Rheiformes; Rheidae. The record is from RefSeq and is a predicted model, not a curated record.